AAGCCUAUAAAUAGAGCUCAUAGCUCUACAUUCUUCACACAAUCAAAGCUUUCAAAUACUCUCUCAUUUUUUUCAAGAAGCACUACCAUUUGUGCUCAUUAAUCCCCAUAUAGCCGAACACCAUAAGCAUACUAAGUUCAUAACUUUAGUUGCUUGAAGAUAUACAUUGUUUUUGGAAGCUCAGGAUAUUAAGGUCCUGAUAUCUUGUUUCUAGGAUGAAGGUUUGGGCGAUUCACUAUAGCAAGAGCAAUCUCUCUUUUUUCUUCUCAUUUCACACUAAAGCAAUCGAUGAUGGAAAGGCUAGUGGCGAGUGGGACCUAGGAGCUUCGUGAUGUACUCGUGGAGACCAUAUAGUCAAGGAAUAUCAAGCGGGCCUAUUUUUAUUAAAGCAUGUUAUUUUAAAUUUUUAUUUAAAUGUUGCUCUUUUUUUAUGUUAAAGACAAAUUAUUUUAUAUUUUGUUGAACCAUGGAUCCAUGUAUUUAUUUUCAAGUUUUUAUUCAA
Long non-coding RNA from Humulus lupulus (European hop), 502 nucleotides. RefSeq lists it as uncharacterized. The record is from RefSeq and is a predicted model, not a curated record. NCBI's taxonomy places the organism in Eukaryota, Viridiplantae, Streptophyta, Magnoliopsida, Rosales, Cannabaceae. The transcript is spliced from 3 exons.